RNAcentral lists this ribosomal RNA (253 nucleotides) under uncultured bacterium. RNAcentral describes it as "partial 16S ribosomal RNA". It matches the Rfam family "Bacterial small subunit ribosomal RNA", at positions 524 to 776 of the family's 1533-position model. The record is from RNAcentral.
UACGUAGGGUGCGAGCGUUAAUCGGAAUUACUGGGCGUAAAGCGUGCGCAGGCGGUUCGUUAAGUUCGUUGUGAAAGCCCCGGGCUCAACCUGGGAACUGCAAUGGAAACUGGCGGGCUUGAAUGCGGCAGAGGGGGGUGGAAUUCCGCGUGUAGCAGUGAAAUGCGUAGAGAUCCGGAGGAACACCAGUGGCGAAGGCGACACGCUGGGCCGUACCUGACACUGAUGCGCGACAGCAUGGGGAGCAAACAGG